UCCCGGCCCUCGUGAUCUCUGGGAGCGGAGGCUUCGGCCCUGGGGGGCUUGGCGGCCGUGGGACUCGAUGUGCUCAUCCCGGGGAGCCCAACAGGCCUUCGCAGGGAGCCUUAUAUGGGCUUUUAGCCCGAAUCACCCGCGAUUUGCCCGAGACAGACGUUCCUUCCCAGCCAAGGCCCAAGGAUUUCUCAUCCUGCCUCCCUUGAGGUUCUUAGGAGAGUUCCCAGCAUUGACUGAGAAAGCUCAAUCCCCGCUGCCCAACAUGAAUGACCCUGCCAAGAGAAGCUGGGGAUGAAGUGAUGGGCUCAGCUGGGAAGAAGGAUUAUUUAACCAUGCCUAUUUGCCACCAUCACCCUACUAGUGAAUCGUUGUCCGUGAAGAUUUCCUGGUGUAAACAGUCUUUGUUCAAGAAAGUUGCAAUAAA
Long non-coding RNA from Antechinus flavipes (yellow-footed antechinus), 424 nucleotides. RefSeq lists it as uncharacterized. NCBI's taxonomy places the organism in Eukaryota, Metazoa, Chordata, Mammalia, Dasyuromorphia, Dasyuridae. The transcript is spliced from 3 exons. The record is from RefSeq and is a predicted model, not a curated record.